This 468-nucleotide ribosomal RNA is filed under the name uncultured bacterium. Its description in RNAcentral is "partial 16S ribosomal RNA". It matches the Rfam family "Bacterial small subunit ribosomal RNA", at positions 28 to 507 of the family's 1533-position model. The record is from RNAcentral.
GACGAACGCUGGCGGCGUGCUUAACACAUGCAAGUCGAACGGAAAGGCCCUGCUUUUGUGGGGUGCUCGAGUGGCGAACGGGUGAGUAACACGUGAGUAACCUGCCCUUGACUUUGGGAUAACUUCAGGAAACUGGGGCUAAUACCGGAUAGGAGCUCCUGCUGCAUGGUGGGGGUUGGAAAGUUUCGGCGGUUGGGGAUGGACUCGCGGCUUAUCAGCUUGUUGGUGGGGUAGUGGCUUACGAAGGCUUUGACGGGUAGCCGGCCUGAGAGGGUGACCGGCCACAUUGGGACUGAGAGACGGCCCAGACUCCUACGGGAGGCAGCAGUGGGGAAUAUUGCACAAUGGGCGGAAGCCUGAGGCAGCAACGCCGCGUGCGGGAUGACGGCCUUCGGGUUGUAAACCGCUUUCGCCUGUGACGAAGCGUGAGUGACGGUAAUGGGUAAAGAAGCACCGGCUAACUACGUG